UGCUUAAACAUGCAAGUCGAACGAUGAUGCCCAGCUUGCUGGGUGGAUUAGUGGCGAACGGGUGAGUAACACGUGAGUAACCUGCCCCUGACUCUGGGAUAAGCGUUGGAAACGACGUCUAAUACUGGAUAUGACUGCCGGCCGCAUGGUCUGGUGGUGGAAAGAUUUUUUGGUUGGGGAUGGACUCGCGGCCUAUCAGCUUGUUGGUGAGGUAAUGGCUCACCAAGGCGACGACGGGUAGCCGGCCUGAGAGGGUGACCGGCCACACUGGGACUGAGACACGGCCCAGACUCCUACGGGAGGCAGCAGUGGGGAAUAUUGCACAAUGGGCGAAAGCCUGAUGCAGCAACGCCGCGUGAGGGAUGACGGCCUUCGGGUUGUAAACCUCUUUUAGUAGGGAAGAAGCGAAAGUGACGGUACCUGCAGAAAAAGCACCGGCUAACUACGUGCCAGCAGCCGCGGUAAUACGUAGGGUGCAAGCGUUGUCCGGAAUUAUUGGGCGUAAAGAGCUCGUAGGCGGUUUGUCGCGUCUGCUGUGAAAUCCCGAGGCUCAACCUCGGGCUUGCAGCGGGUACGGGCAGACUAGAGUGCGGUAGGGGAGAUUGGAAUUCCUGGUGUAGCGGUGGAAUGCGCAGAUAUCAGGAGGAACACCGAUGGCGAAGGCAGAUCUCUGGGCCGUAACUGACGC
RNAcentral lists this ribosomal RNA (688 nucleotides) under uncultured bacterium. RNAcentral's name for it is "bacterial SSU rRNA". It matches the Rfam family "Bacterial small subunit ribosomal RNA", at positions 45 to 746 of the family's 1533-position model. The record is from RNAcentral.